AGUGAACGCUGGCGGUAGGCCUAACACAUGCAAGUCGAACGGCAGCACAGGAGAGCUUGCUCUCUGGGUGGCGAGUGGCGGACGGGUGAGGAAUACAUCGGAAUCUACUCUGUCAUGGGGGAUAACGUAGGGAAACUUACGCUAAUACCGCAUACGACCUACGGGUGAAAGCAGGGGAUCUUCGGACCUUGCGCGAUUGAAUGAGCCGAUGUCGGAUUAGCUAGUUGGCGGGGUGAAGGCCCACCAAGGCGACGAUCCGUAGCUGGUCUGAGAGGAUGAUCAGCCACACUGGAACUGAGACACGGUCCAGACUCCUACGGGAGGCAGCAGUGGGGAAUAUUGGACAAUGGGCGCAAGCCUGAUCCAGCCAUACCGCGUGGGUGAAGAAGGCCUUCGGGUUGUAAAGCCCUUUUGUUGGGAAAGAAAUCCAGCUGGCUAAUACCCGGUUGGGAUGACGGUACCCAAAGAAUAAGCACCGGCUAACUUCGUGCCAGCCGCCGCCGUAA
Molecule: ribosomal RNA, 506 nt
Filed under: uncultured bacterium
Lineage: Bacteria
Description: partial 16S ribosomal RNA
Rfam family: Bacterial small subunit ribosomal RNA
Source: RNAcentral